CACCGAGCAGCGCCGAGCAAGCGGUCAUUAACGGGAAAAGGAAACUGACGCCAUCUUUGAUUGAAUUCGGCAGGUGUAUUCAAGGUGUAUUGUUGUUAUGUGGGUUUUCCUACUCUCUCUUGGGUUAAGUUUUAUUUUGGUGACUAAACUUUUGCCGAAUUGUUACUGGGGCGUACACACGUCCACAACUUUGCUAGCUGAAAAUGCCUCAAACUGCUGCUUUACCCAACGGAGGACGGAUGUUACGUAGCAAAAUGGACGUGAAGGAGUUUGCUUCCAUGGAUAUUUAAAGGCCUAGAGACUUGACAGGAGGGUGGCCCUUUCAGCUCUGAAACAAGGACAUUAUGGUGAAUGAGGACUGACACUGAUUGGACUUCAGGUAUACCUUCAGGAAGACCUUCAAACAUGAGUCAGCGAGCCAAUACUGACAGAUGCUCCGUUGACAAGACAGCUGCCAGCACUCAAUCCAGCAACUGGGUCAAGUCCUUCUGACAACCAUGACAAGUCCCUGCCAUGAGGGCUGUGCUGCUGUCCCCCCAGGCCCUCUGACUUACCCAUGUGUCACCUGUGCUCUCCAGGGGCCUUGGAGAAGACCUUUGGGACUCUCCUGUGGUUCACAUUUGGUGGUCACAUACCCAUGAACAGGAGAUGAAGCUUUGUCUUAUAAUUAGGCUCUGUGGCGUCCAGGAGCUUACAACCUACGCCUGCCGUUUAGGGAUGAAGCUGACUGUUCCUUUCCAAUCCUUGCUGCAUUAUUAAGGGUGACAGGACUCGUUGCAGAGUGUCUCUACCAUUCUCUUUGUACUGCUUCCCCUCGCCCGCUACCACCCCACAACCCCCCGGCCCUCCUCGACAUCCCACCGCCACAUGUGUCCUCUGUGAAAUGGAAAUGCUGCCCCAUUAAAAAUCGUCAACCUGAAGCAGAUCACUGCUGCACUUAUGCUAAUGUAGACACAGGAAAAUAUCACACAAGGAAAGGGAGGAAAAAAAAGUUAGAGAGGGAAGCAAAUCGGAUAAAAAAUUACCAGUUUCACUUGAGGGAUGAAAGUAUAGUGCCUCUAAUUGGAAAUGAAUACUGUUGUAGUGUGUAGUUAGGAAAUAUUCACAAUUGUACAGGAGUUUGGGUGGGUUUAAAGUGAGAGUUGAGGAUGUACUUGGAGAGGAGGAGAGAGAGAGAGAGAGAGAGAUGGGAAACACAGACAACAGCAUACUUGGAUGGGAGAUAAUUAAGCCUACAGUUUGUCCCUGCACCAAACAGCAGACGCAAUAACAUACAUCAGCAUUUGCAGUCGGCCACAACGCCAUGGUUGGUUACUGUGCAGGCUGGAUUUACAGCUGUUUAUUCAUGUUCAUGAUUUUAAUUUAUUUCAAGUUUUCUGGUAAAUGUUUAAAGUGGUUUCUGGAUAAUUGUUGACUGCUUAGCCACAAAUAUAAAGUUGUAAAGUGUAGCCUUGGCUACUGGGAAAUGGGCCUUACAAUCGCUUAACAAUUAAAAUCUAACAACACUUCAGUCUUCAAACGACGCAUAAAAUUAUAGCAGAAAAUGAGGGUUCUCUUAUUUAUCUGUUUUGGUGCCUCUUUGGCGGCCUGGGAUCAGCCCCUCUGUCACCAUGGAGAAUGACAGUAAUGAUAAACAGUAAUCAAAUCUGCUCCUGUGAGGGUCUGCCUCUUUCCUCACUGCACAUAAUAGGGUGAGGGGAGGAAAAUUAAGUGUCCCUUUGAUCCAUGUGGCUGAAUACUGAGCAUGUAGCAAAUUAAAAAGAGAAUCCUGCUGCA
This is a long non-coding RNA of Scatophagus argus, 1776 nucleotides long. RefSeq lists it as uncharacterized. The record is from RefSeq and is a predicted model, not a curated record. NCBI's taxonomy places the organism in Eukaryota, Metazoa, Chordata, Actinopteri, Scatophagidae. The transcript has 2 exons.